CAAUAGCGUAUAUUAAAGUUGUUGCAGUUAAAAAGCUCGUAGUCGGAUUUUGGCAUCACGCCGAACUGUCUGCCGAUUGGUAAGUACGGUUUGGCGGGUGCUUCCUUCCGGAGGCUCGUUCCCUUCUUCAUUGAAGGGUUCGUUGGUUCCGGGUCUUUUACUUUGAGAAAAUUAGAGUGUUCAAAGCAGGCCUAUGCUCUGAAUAGGUUAGCAUGGAAUAAUAGAAUAGGACUUUGGUUCUAUUUUGUUGGUUUCUAGGACCGAAGUAAUGAUUAAUAGGGAUAGUGGGGGCAUUAGUAUUUAAUUGUCAGAGGUGAAAUUCUUGGAUUUAUGAAAGACUAACUACUGCGAAAGCAUUUGCCAAGGAUGUUUUCAUUAAUCAAGAACGAAAGUUAGGGGAUCGAAGACGAUCAGAUACCA
RNAcentral lists this ribosomal RNA (420 nucleotides) under uncultured eukaryote. Its description in RNAcentral is "SSU rRNA". It matches the Rfam family "Eukaryotic small subunit ribosomal RNA", at positions 592 to 1017 of the family's 1831-position model. The record is from RNAcentral.